UGUAUGUGUGUGUGUGUGUGUGUGUGUGUGUGUGUUUUACAGAUCCAAUAGAGUUAGAAUCAACCAAAAAAGUACUCCAUUCAAUAAAUAUCAAUUUAAAUACACAAUCAAAAUAGCUGUUUUUUUCUUAUUUUCUUUCUAUCCAGCAUCCUUGUCUUUAGAAUAUAACACUUAAACAUUUCCUUGUCUCUAGGCUAAACUGAUAAUAACCAUUCCCACUUCUGUAUUUUACUUAUGAAUGCAUUUUCAAUAAUACAUGGUUAGUAAAAACCUAUUUCAUGUUUACAAACAAAUAAUUUUUUCUUAUUGAUGACAGUGUUCUUCAUCCCUGGGUCUUCAGAUUUGAUAGGUGCUAAGAUCUUGUCCUUAUUAUGUACAAUUCUUGAUACAGUUGUCCGACUCAUUCCAAAAGACCGUGCAAUUGCUACCACUUUUUCACCUUUUUCAUGGCAUUCUAUCAUAUCCAGUUUAUCUUCCAGCAUUAUAGCAUGAUGCUUAGCACUUAUUCUAUGAAUUGUCUUAGGAGCCAUGGGGGCAAAAAAAUAAAGUCACAAAUGAAUGAGAAUGUGAAAGUAGCUGAUAAACAGACGUAGACAAAUCUGAAUUGAAAACAAUCACAGGAAUCACGAGUGACAACGAUGCCUAAUGAUAGAUAUUGGAACUACAGGGCAACAUGAGAUCCAAAAGACCAAUAAGACAACACAGCUGAUUUCAUGAUUUCAUUCACUAAGCUACGCUACUUUAUGGUGUGUAUCUUAACAUUUACUAUACGUAUUUUAAUAUGAUUCUAUAUGCUUUUAUUCUUGUUUAUUGUACAGUAACGUGAUUUUAUGUGCCUUUAAUGGUUUUCUAGUGAUUUUACGAUUCCAAUAUUUGUGGCGGACAGACGUGAAAUCGAGCGAAAUGACUUGACUUGAUUUUUAUUUUUCCACCGAGAACAACUUAAAUUGAAAUGACUUAAGCUGAGGUACGCCUCUAUGUGUAUGUGUGUGUGUGUGUUUAUAUAUGUAUAUAUAUAAAU
Octopus sinensis (East Asian common octopus) is the source of this 1021-nucleotide long non-coding RNA. RefSeq lists it as uncharacterized. The transcript is spliced from 2 exons. Lineage: Eukaryota; Metazoa; Mollusca; Cephalopoda; Octopoda; Octopodidae. The record is from RefSeq and is a predicted model, not a curated record.